Transfer RNA from Monodelphis domestica (gray short-tailed opossum), 90 nucleotides. It matches the Rfam family "tRNA". From Rfam's summary of the family: Transfer RNA (tRNA) molecules are approximately 80 nucleotides in length. Their secondary structure includes four short double-helical elements and three loops (D, anti-codon, and T loops). NCBI's taxonomy places the organism in Eukaryota, Metazoa, Chordata, Mammalia, Didelphimorphia, Didelphidae. The record is from Rfam.
CCUUCGAUAGCUCAGCUGGUAGAGCGGAGGACUGUAGGCAACGCAUCUGUAGUAAUCCUUAGGUCGCUGGUUCGAUUCCGGCUCGAAGGA